CCUACGGGUGGCAGCAGUGGGGAAUAUUGGGCAAUGGGCGCAAGCCUGACCCAGCAACGCCGCGUGAAGGAAGAAGGCUUUCGGGUUGUAAACUUCUUUUCUCAGGGACGAAGAAAGUGACGGUACCUGAGGAAUAAGCCACGGCUAACUACGUGCCAGCAGCCGCGGUAAUACGAAGGGUGCGAGCGUUGUUCGGAAUUACUGGGCGUAAAGGGAGUGUAGGCGGAUAUGUAAGAUAGCGGUGAAAUGCCGGGGCUCAACCCCGGAACUGCCAUUAUGACUAUGUAUCUAGAGUAAUGGAGAGGAUAGCGGAAUACCCAGUGUAGAGGUGAAAUUCGUAGAUAUUGGGUAGAACACCGGUGGCGAAGGCGGCUAUCUGGCCAUUUACUGACGCUGAGGCUCGAAAGCAUGGGGAUCAAACAGGAUUAGAUACCCCAGUAGUC
RNAcentral lists this ribosomal RNA (443 nucleotides) under uncultured bacterium. RNAcentral's name for it is "partial 16S ribosomal RNA". It matches the Rfam family "Bacterial small subunit ribosomal RNA", at positions 338 to 795 of the family's 1533-position model. The record is from RNAcentral.